Molecule: ribosomal RNA, 433 nt
Filed under: uncultured bacterium
Lineage: Bacteria
Description: partial 16S ribosomal RNA
Rfam family: Bacterial small subunit ribosomal RNA
Source: RNAcentral
AACGAACGCUGGCGGCAUGCCUAACACAUGCAAGUCGAACGAGACCUUCGGGUCUAGUGGCGCACGGGUGCGUAACGCGUGGGAAUCUGCCCUUGGGUUCGGAAUAACAGUGAGAAAUUACUGCUAAUACCGGAUGAUUUCUUCGGACCAAAGAUUUAUCGCCCAGGGAUGAGCCCGCGUAGGAUUAGCUAGUUGGUGGGGUAAUGGCCUACCAAGGCGACGAUCCUUAGCUGGUCUGAGAGGAUGAUCAGCCACACUGGGACUGAGACACGGCCCAGACUCCUACGGGAGGCAGCAGUGGGGAAUAUUGGACAAUGGGCGCAAGCCUGAUCCAGCAAUGCCGCGUGAGUGAUGAAGGCCUUAGGGUUGUAAAGCUCUUUUACCCGGGAUGAUAAUGACAGUACCGGGAGAAUAAGCUCCGGCUAACUCCGUG